RNAcentral lists this ribosomal RNA (373 nucleotides) under uncultured organism. Its description in RNAcentral is "partial 16S ribosomal RNA". It matches the Rfam family "Bacterial small subunit ribosomal RNA", at positions 527 to 896 of the family's 1533-position model. The record is from RNAcentral.
GUAGGUGGCAAGCGUUGUCCGGAAUUAUUGGGCGUAAAGCGCGCGCAGGUGGUUCUUUAAGUCUGAUGUGAAAGCCCCCGGCUCAACCGGGGAGGGUCAUUGGAAACUGGGGAACUUGAGUGCAGGAGAGGAAAGUGGAAUUCCACGUGUAGCGGUGAAAUGCGUAGAUAUGUGGAGGAACACCAGUGGCGAAGGCGACUUUCUGGCCUGUAACUGACACUGAGGCGCGAAAGCGUGGGGAGCAAACAGGAUUAGAUGCCCUGGUAGUCCACGCCGUAAACGAUGAGUGCUAAGUGUUGGGGGGGUUUCCCGCCCCUCAGUGCUGCAGCUAACGCAUUAAGCACUCCGCCUGGGGAGUACGGUCGCAAGACUG